GCGUUCGGGUAAUCGCUGCAGCUUGCUGCAGAGGAAAGUCCAUGCUCGCACGGGCUGAGAUGCCCGUAGUGUUCGUGCCUAGCCAAUCCAUAAGCUAGGGCAGCCGGAUCUUCCGGUUGACGGCAGGGAAAAUGCCUAAGUCCUUUCCGGAUAUGGCAUGAAUACCUUGAAAGUGCCACAGUGACGUAGCCUUCCCAGAAAUGGGAAGGGUGGAACGAGGUAAACCCCGCGAGUGAGAAACCCAAAUAAUGGUAGGGGCACCUUCCUGGAGGAACUGAACAAAGGGAAGGACAGGUCAUCCGGCCUGUAGAUAGAUGAUUACCGCCGGAGUGCGAGACGAGCAGUCGAUUGCAGUACGAUGGUACAGAACAUGGCUUACAGAA
RNAcentral lists this RNase P RNA (383 nucleotides) under Bacillus sp. T33-2. RNAcentral's name for it is "Bacterial RNase P class B". It matches the Rfam family "Bacterial RNase P class B". From Rfam's summary of the family: Ribonuclease P (RNase P) is a ubiquitous endoribonuclease, found in archaea, bacteria and eukarya as well as chloroplasts and mitochondria. Its best characterised activity is the generation of mature 5'-ends of tRNAs by cleaving the 5'-leader elements of precursor-tRNAs. Cellular RNase Ps are ribonucleoproteins. The record is from Rfam by way of RNAcentral. Lineage: Bacteria; Bacillati; Bacillota; Bacilli; Caryophanales; Bacillaceae.